GUUAUAUGGUCAAGUGAAGAAGCGCAUACGGUGGAUGCCUUGGCAGUCAGAGGCGAUGAAAGACGUGGUAGCCUGCGAAAAGCUUCGGGGAGUCGGCAAACAGACUUUGAUCCGGAGAUGUCUGAAUGGGGGAACCCAGCCAUCAUAAGAUGGUUACCU
Molecule: ribosomal RNA, 159 nt
Filed under: Pseudomonas sp. 21615526
Lineage: Bacteria; Pseudomonadati; Pseudomonadota; Gammaproteobacteria; Pseudomonadales; Pseudomonadaceae
Description: partial 23S ribosomal RNA
Rfam family: Bacterial large subunit ribosomal RNA
Source: RNAcentral